CCCUAGCCCUGAUGGGAGGGAAAAUCCUUUUUUGAUAAAACGCGAAGCAAGUUUUAUCAAAAAAGAUUACUUCACAACAUUCUUAAUU
Molecule: small RNA, 88 nt
Filed under: Flavobacterium xinjiangense
Lineage: Bacteria; Pseudomonadati; Bacteroidota; Flavobacteriia; Flavobacteriales; Flavobacteriaceae
Description: Flavo-1 RNA
Source: RNAcentral